AAACGUUGCCAACCCCUGCUCUAUAUGCUAAGUUCACCUUGGGAUCACGAAACUGUAGCUUAUGCUAAAAGCAAUUUUUGCAGUGUUGUAGCCGUGUUGAGCCCAGGGUAUGAAUGAGGUAAUCUUUUAUUGCACCAACUUCUGUUGGUGGGCGGUACUGCUUUCUAGCUACACAGGGCUCUAUGUAGCUUGAAAGCCUGUAUCUUCCACCAGCAGAAGUUGGUCCAAAGAAAGAUAAAAACAUAGAUAGGACAAACCUCGCCUCUCAGCACAAAGGACACCAUUAUAUUAUACUGGGAAAAUGGGCCACAUUCUGCUCUCCAGUGAUGUCACUGGGUUGAUCAGAUGCUCCAAAACUCAGAAAAAACAAAACAGAAAAGGAAGGGCGGAAAUAAAAGACACUCUGGAUGAAAAAAAAAUAAUUGAGUGGAUAAUAAAACUAUAAUGUAAGCUCAGCAUGGACUUGGUGUAACAAAAUUGUCUUCUCUUUGGGAGCUAACAACUCAGGAUCAGAGCUUCUAAUUACUAAGGACUCAGUCGUGCUCCCAUUGAAAUCAGUAGCAAAACUUCCAUUAAUUUUAAUAGGAGCAGAUUAGACCCUAGCUCUUUUAUUACCAAGGCUCUGUUUACUCAGACUUCUUAGUGAAAUUACACUUGUUCAGAGAGAUUGUACAUUGUGUUUACUAAUGAUGUUCGUCCUGCUGAAUACAUGCCUUAUUGCUAAGUGAUUUUUAUUAGCACAUACCCUGCUUCCUGAUGCUUGUAUUAUGCUUUACCCAUGUACUGUCAUUAUAGUUUCCAAAGUCUAGCUAUGCUCUUCACUUUGAAUGCUUCUCCAUACCUUCUGGCAAAUUAGAUAGUAGAUAUAGAAAAAGCAAACUCUGCUGGCAAAAAUGGGGUGAUUUUUUUUUAUUGUAUCUUUAUGGCAAAUACCAUGGCAGCUUCCCAAAUGCUGCUUUGUGCCCUUGAAUUCAGAAGUUAUUGUGUCAGAAUAAACAAUAAGAACUGAUACUUCUUAUGAAUCCUAAUUCCUGUAAAUAGUAAUAUCCAUGGAAAGCCACUUAAAGCCAAUGUAAUCUUCCUAAAUAAAAAGAAACCUAUGGGCAGAUCUAUCCAGGCUUAUGCAACCAGUACUUGUAAAACACUGAGUGCAGUGUAUGUAAUUAAGGGUGUUAUACAAGUAUGGUGGGGUGAGCUCAGAGCAAUGGUUUCUUGCAACAUAUCUUGCUUAGUGUAGGAAGGGUCUCCUUGACUAGUAUGUGGUGUGCAGCUAAGCCCCUCAUAUCCCUUCUCUACCCCAGUACUUAUGCAUGCAGGACCAAGCAUGGAGUAAAUAGGAGUCAACAAUGUCUGUGCAAUCCAGUGGAGCAUGUGGAGUAGCAUCCACUUGACUGGACAGCUUGCUUGUGCUAUACAAGUGACUUGGAAAAGGGAAUACACCAGGAGAAAACUUGUUUCCCAGCAUCAGCCCAUGCCUCGUUGGCCUAGAAAGUGAAUAUAGACAAGCACAAUUAUACUUUAGCUCAGUGGUCUCCAAACUUUUUUGAUCGUGCACCUCUAUCAGUAAAAAACUUUUGAGCACGCACCCUCUGCUGCGCUGGCUCUACCAUUUUUGUCGAAGCAAAAAAAAGAAGCUGCUUGGACUCCCGCCUGAACUGCCGAAGCAAAAAACAAACAAACUGCUCCUCCUGCCGUGCACUCCUGAGGAUCCUCUUGCGCAUCCCACUUUGGAGACCACUGCUUUAGAUAACAAGACAAACAAAAAAUGUCAUAACAGAAAGAAUUAUUUAAAAGGCAAUAAUCCAUCUCUGGUCUUAAAGAUCAUUAUCUCUGUAGCAUGAUUUAACGUGUACUGUACUUCCCUGAUGGGUAAAGUAAAGAGAGAGUUAGUUUAUGAUGUUACUACUGUGUUUAUUUCAUAAGCCAAAUGCUUGUUUAAGUUAACAUAACUUUCUCUUUGUUUGUCUAGGCAGUUUAUUCCACACUGAUUGCCCCGGUACCCGAGUGCUUUUAUCUUUACAUCACCACUGAGAAAUUAAGAAUAUGAUUUACUGUUUUAAUAAUUAUAUUAGCACGUAAAGAAGGAUUUAGUAGUUCACCAGGCACUGAACCAAGUCUUUUGUUAACUCUAUGAAUAAGACCACAGUAUAGGUUAGCUUCAUAUUUUACGUGUUGCUUUAAAUAUGGAAGAGCCUUCCUUCCAUCAGAGGUACCUUUGCUGUCACUCUUUAUGAACUUUUAUUCCUGACUUUGUGUCAGAGAGAGACUGUCAUCUCAGUUUAUAUUUGCCAGAUGUAAGAAACUAUAAUGUAAACAAAAUCUAUUGAGAGAUAAAAUAAUUUCCUCCCCAAACUUCACUACAAGAUGGGAAUGCAUUUUGGGUGAAAUUCACCCCUGUGCAAAGAGAUACCAUGAGGCCUCUGUACCCUGUAAGCCCAAUAUGAUUUUGAGAGUGAAAUUCUGACCACAGUGAAGUCAAUGGUAGUUUUGCUAUUGACUUCAUUGAGGCCAGGAUUUCACUCUGAGGGCAUACGUUAAAGCUUACAUGGGGCAUACCCUGGUCCUUGUGCUGACCCUCUGGAAAGAGGUGAAAUUAACCCUUUGCUUAUGCUCUUCGGGACGUCUUUCAGGAUAGACCUGUGGACAUUUACUCACAUAUAGUUCAUUUUACAGUGUUGUUUCUGAACUUGCAAGUUUUUUAAUGUUUUUUUAAAUAAAAUAGCAUGAUUCCUAGAAAGCAAGCUCCCUAGAGGGUGAGUCAACAGCUAUACAUAGCAAGUUUAUAGUUGGCACACGAUAACCACAGCGAGGGUACAAAGGCCUCUAAGAAAGAUACUCGGCUAUUACACUAGCAAAAAAAUCUGGGAGCUUGACAGAGAGUCCAAGGGAUUGGCAUGAGCCCUCUCCCCAUCUCUGACCUCUAUACCCCAGCCCUAGAAAAAUUGCAUCUCAUACACUGAUUUUGCUCCCAUUGGAAAUCAGUGGGCAUUUUGCCUUUAAUGGGAGCAGGAUUGGCCUAUAAUUCUUUGACUGAAUGGGUUCGGAUUUGAAUUUAAGCAACCCAAGUUUUGUUUUCUAAAAUUUCAGGGCUUAAAGCCUUGUUUACAAGGAUUCAUACAAUAGCCAGGUCUCAAGGAGUCGGCUCCAGUGGUGUUGAAGGUAGUACACAGAGGAUAACAAGUCCAAAUGCACAAAGCUGGUAGGCCCAGAGGAAUUUACUUGUUUUUAUUCAGUGUUUUCCUUCAGGAAUUAUUGUCUGAAACUUAAGGACAACAAAAGGAUGAUUUUUUUUUAAUUUAACAUGAAAGCUACCAUCUGUGCAUAUUUGGACACUUUCCUUUAUUGUCAAAGAUAUUCGUAUUUCUGUCAAAAUACCAAAGAUGCCCCAGUCAUGUUAAUAAGAGAGUUUAAUACACCAGUCUCCAGCGCACAGUCAACUUCAUAUGCAUCUCCUUGCAUGGUACAUGUCUGUUCAUGACCCUUUGAAGGGUCAGAAACCCUUCUGUUUUUCAUUCCUUAAUGUUUCAUACACACAAGCCUGAUUCUUUGCUGUCUGGCACCUUGUUAUAUGCUCCUGGCAUACACACUGAGAAUUCGAUAAAAACAUAAAUACUCUUGCUGCAGAGUGGCAAUGUAACACUACUUUUAUUUCCUAAAAUUCAGAAUAACACACAAGAAUCCAAAACCAGAGAGAAAGCAGGCUGUCCCCCAAAACAAAGAGACACAAUUCAGGCUUCUUUACACUGGGCUGGCUGCCUGCAAACCAGUUGGUACUAGGUUCAGAAUCGCAUGCUUCUGUACAGAUCCUGCAAGCAGGACCAGGAAAACCCCUGAGCAUUUCAAGUGAUAGCUUACAAUUUCAAUACAGUGUUCAGUACACCACUCUUGUUUAGAACACUACCACUGGUGUGUGAAUGGAGGAAAUGUACCCUCACUUUGUACAGGAGAAAAUGACUAUACAAGGUGCCAGACAGCCUAGAAGCAAGCUGUGAGCCUAUAAUUUUAUGGUGUCAGUUGUGCAGUUUUUACAUUAUUUAUUGGUGGCCUUCAAUCUUAGAAAUGUCAGAGCCCACUGGAUUAGUAUGUUCAUAUUACUAGGGGUUUUUCAAUUUUUCUUUUUAAAGUGACAAUUUCAAUGUUUUCUUACUGAACUAGAAUUUUAUUGCUCCUACCUUUGCAUCCUUCUUGGAAGAAUAUGUAAAGAAAUGAUAAGCCACCACAAAAUUCCAUUUAAUUGCACAUUAGUACAGUAACCACAGGACAGACAUGCAGUUCUAAUCCAGAAUCAAACCCAAAUCCACUCUACCCCAAAGUUAGCAGUUGUUUUGGAUUUGAUGUUCUGUUUCUCCCAUUCUAGAGACAGGCCAGAGCUGUGAAGUUUUGAUCUAGAUCUAAAGAGUCCCAAAAGUUUGGAUGCGCUACAGGCACAUUUCCAUAUAUAGGUCCCUUUUACAAUGUCUAGAAUCAAAGUGUUGGAAGCUUGAAUUACAUAUACAACAUUAAAUCUGACUUUGAAGUGCAUCAUGUUGUGUCCAGUGCUGUUUUAACUCUCCCUUCAGUUCCUCCUGUCUUUAGCCAUGAAACCCACGGACCUGAACCUCACCCACAAAUAGGUCAUCCGAAGUAGAAAUGUACAUGCCCAGAGGAUAAUCUGUGCAGAAUACUUUUCUUCAUUGGCAGGUGCUGAAGUUGUUUGUUCUGUGGGUAGCUGCGAUAUGAUUGUUAGGAGAAGUGAUUCUGCAAUUAGAGUGAGGAUACUUAUGGUGUUGUUGCCUCAUCCUCCCAGACACUAAGUUCUUCAGCCUACUUUAGAUUAGGAGGAAUUGGUCCUUGCUCUUAACUGCUUAGUUUGUGUGUAUUGUUUUAUUUUCCUAAGUGGUUUCUUUAUUAUAAAGAAAAAUUCUCCAUUGUACAGGUUAGGUCCGGUGCUGGGCUGCUUACUCAGAGAAUGCGCUCAUUGAUGUCUGUGGGAGAUUUUCUGAGUAAGGAGCUGAAGCGUAGGCUCCAAAGGGAAUGAAUGCAUUGUUGUGUGUGUUACGUUCCAUUUUAAAUAUCACGGUGUUGAAAUGUUUGAUUUCUGAAUUAUCAAAGAAAGCUUUAGGUUAAUGAUGGAGUCCGAGAAUUGCCAAAUCACAUUAAUUUUCUUAUAAUGUACACUACCCAGUGCUUUCCAGUCGCAGUGAAUGAUAAUUUUCAUAUCACAGUCAACUAUCACAUGUUCAUUUUCCCCCUCAAAAGCUGCUAAAUACUUCUAAUAAAGCAGAACGUUGGCAGCCAGUUGAUUUACGUUUUGGUCAAAAAACCAAGCUCUGCUGGUGGCCUUCUUAUUAAAUUUAUAAAUUGAUGCCUUCAAAUACCAAACAUUGCUCACAAAUACUGUAUUUCUAUAUCUCUUAGCAGUUACCUAGCUCAGCCCUCUACCACCCUUCUGCUAGAAAAUUCUCAUGAGGAAGUAAUGGAAGGAGACAGUAAGUUAAAUGACUGAUGAGUCAGUUCAAGUUUUAUGUUUUAAUUCCUGAUAUGUAAUCAUUUCUGCAUAAAUGAUGCUUAUUUCACUGUGUAGUACAGUUUCUACAUGAGUUCAAUGUCUCUUGAGGCAUUUCAUUAUCUACAGUAUGUUUUAAAUUGUGUUUGUUGAGGAUUUAUUUAAUACACAACAAGGUUCUCUUUUUUGGUAUCUCUGAUCAACUUCUCUUACUAAUAUUCUUGUUUCAAGAUGUGGGCAGCAUGUUACACAUACUCAAGUCAUCUGACAUAUGUAUAAAGUGGCUUUUAAUUUUAAGUGUUUAUUUUCAAAAUUCUCUCUGGUUGCACCUAGAGCAGCAUAUAGCAGUAAAGUGCAAAAAACUAUUUUUUUUAUUAUUACUGCUAAGAGUACAGAGCCAGAUUCUGUCUUGGUUACAUGAAGGCAUAAUUAAGGGCAGAAAUGUGUCCAUAGGCCCAAAGGUGCAAAGGACUUGCACAAGUGUUUUGGCCCCACUUAAGUUCUACUUAGAACAGACUCUUAGGCCCUGAUUCAGCAAAUAGGAUGAGAAGAGUAGCAAUGGGUUUAAGCACAUGCUUACAUGUUUUGUAGUAUCAGGGCCUUACGCAGGAUAUAAAUGGUACAUAGACAUAGAGUCUUUUGUAGGCUCUCUGCCCUGGGGGGAAUUUCACCUGAAGGUUAAAGAUAGUUUCCAAGUAAAUAGGGCCCUACCAAAUUCAUGGUCCAUUUUGAUCAAGUUCAUGGCCAGAGGGUUUUUAAAUUGGUCAGUUUCACGUUUUCAGAGGUUUACAUCUGAAAUUUCACACUGUUGUAACUGUGGGGGUCCCACCCAAAAGUGCAUCACAGGGGUCACAAAGCUGAUGUAGGGGUGUUGUGGGAUUGCCACCCUCACUUCUGCGCUGCCUUCAGAUUUUUUUUUAAUUUCAUGGAAUAUUUCUAAACAGAGCACGGGUUUCUCUUUGGGGCCCUGUGUGUAGGAUGAAUUUCACUGAUUACAUUUUGGUCAUUCUCCAAAACCUAAACUUCUCUUCUAACUGACCUGAUAUUGUCCCUUAAAGCUAUACAUCAUGGAAAUCAAGAUUACAGUACAGAAACACAUGUGGUUAUGAGGGUAAGCCGUGUCACUUCCCUCCAGAUGUCUGUUUUUCCUCACAGAAUUCUGUAUAGCACAGGAGGAAACGGUUGAAGCGGGAUGCAGCAGUACAUCACUAUGGAACAUCUCUGUACAAUGAUAUUAUCAUCUUGCAACAUGGUCAUCGCAUAUUGGAUGAUAGCUCAUUGUUGAAAAAAUGUCUCCCCAUAGGAAGCAGUCUAGGGGCUUUCAACUAGGAAUUUCUGACACCCCUUACCGCAACAGUUGCUAUAUCUGAACUAAUUCUCUCACUCUGGGCCUCCGCGUUUCAAUGAGGACCCAGAUAAAAAUAUUUCUCUUCCCCUGGGGGAGGCAUUACAAGGCACUGUUGAGGCCUUUACGCCUCAUUCCCUGGCCAACUGGAUCUAGAAAAAAGGAGAAUAAAUGUCUGUACUUGGGCUUUCUCAUCGUGGGGGAAAUCGUGCCUGAGGAAGACAAACUGAAUCAUCAGGCGUGGAGCCUAUAUUCUGAAGUGAAGGACAGUACUCCUAAAUAAAGAGAGAAGAGGAUCCAGAGCCAUUUUCCUUUAAACAUUACUU
Non-coding RNA from Chrysemys picta bellii (western painted turtle), 7156 nucleotides. The record is from RefSeq and is a predicted model, not a curated record. NCBI's taxonomy places the organism in Eukaryota, Metazoa, Chordata, Testudines, Emydidae.